RNAcentral lists this ribosomal RNA (433 nucleotides) under uncultured bacterium. RNAcentral's name for it is "partial 16S ribosomal RNA". It matches the Rfam family "Bacterial small subunit ribosomal RNA", at positions 29 to 507 of the family's 1533-position model. The record is from RNAcentral.
AACGAACGCUGGCGGCAUGCCUAACACAUGCAAGUCGAACGAAGCCUUCGGGCUUAGUGGCGCACGGGUGCGUAACGCGUGGGAAUCUGCCCCUUGCUUCGGAAUAACAGUUAGAAAUGACUGCUAAUACCGGAUGAAGUCUUCGGACCAAAGAUUUAUCGGCAAGGGAUGAGCCCGCGUAGGAUUAGGUAGUUGGUGGGGUAAAGGCCUACCAAGCCGACGAUCCUUAGCUGGUCUGAGAGGAUGAUCAGCCACACUGGGACUGAGACACGGCCCAGACUCCUACGGGAAGCAGCAGUGGGGAAUAGUGGACAAUGGACGCAAGUCUGAUCCAGCAAUGCCGCGUGAGUGAUGAAGGCCUUAGGGUUGUAAAGCUCUUUUACCAGGGAUGAUAAUGACAGUACCUGGAGAAUAAGCUCCGGCUAACUCCGUG